AACGAACGCUGGCGGCAGGCCUAACACAUGCAAGUCGAGCGCGCCCUUCGGGGUGAGCGGCGGACGGGUGAGUAACGCGUGGGAAUGUGCCCUUCUCUGCGGAAUAGCCUCGGGAAACUGAGAGUAAUACCGCAUACGCCCUUUGGGGGAAAGAUUUAUCGGAGAAGGAUCGGCCCGCGUUGGAUUAGGUAGUUGGUGGGGUAAUGGCCCACCAAGCCGACGAUCCAUAGCUGGUUUGAGAGGAUGAUCAGCCACACUGGGACUGAGACACGGCCCAGACUCCUACGGGAGGCAGCAGUGGGGAAUCUUAGACAAUGGGGGCAACCCUGAUCUAGCCAUGCCGCGUGAGUGAUGAAGGCCUUAGGGUUGUAAAGCUCUUUCAGCUGGGAAGAUAAUGACGGUACCAGCAGAAGAAGCCCCGGCUAACUCCGUG
This 433-nucleotide ribosomal RNA is filed under the name uncultured bacterium. RNAcentral describes it as "partial 16S ribosomal RNA". It matches the Rfam family "Bacterial small subunit ribosomal RNA", at positions 29 to 507 of the family's 1533-position model. The record is from RNAcentral.